GGAGGCGUUGACGGGCACGCCGAACAGGCGCAGGUAGUCCUUGUUGGUGUUGGCCAGGUCGGCCACGCUCUUCAGGUCCCACACCGAGGCCAGCGCGGUCACGGGCGACAGGACCAGGCCGGUCAGGCCGGCGGGCAGCGUGGAGGCCACCGUGUCGUCCGUGUACACGGCGCCGGUGACCGCGUCCUUGCAAGAGCCCUUGUAGGAGGCGUCCUUGCCGGCGUAGCUGGCCAUGCCGCUGUGGGAGGGAAGAAGAGGGAGGGAGAGAUGAUAAGUACAUGCGCACAACAUUGUCCUGUGCAAUGGCAAUAGCAGGAGAACUCUCCAGUAAAGCAACCCUAUUCACAAAGCAAGUACUCACGUGAAGUUGCCCGCGGUGGUGGUGACGGUGAGGUCGCCAAUUAGCACGUUGCAGGACAGCGGGCCGGUGGCCAGACCGCGGGCCGAGUAGUUGGCGGUCGACAGCGGCGGCGAGGGGGGAGGCGAGGGCGCGGGCGACGGGGGAGGCGAGGGCGGGGGCGAGGGCACGGUGAUGAGCGCGGGUGAGGGGCGGGGCACGUAGGCCGGGCCGGUGGCGCUGCCGGCACGCAGCACGGUCUGGCUGACAGCCACAUCCACCGUGUCACCAGCCAUGGGCUUGUAGGUGGCGGCGGCGGUGAGCGUGAGGCUCAGGCCGUCGGCGCUGACGGCGCAGGCCGACAGAGGGCUGGCGACGGCGCUGCCGUUGCGGGCAAUGACCACGGCGGCAUUGCAGUCGGCGGCAGCGGUGCUGGUGAGGACCGAGGCGGUGGGCAGGGCGACGGUGACGAUGGUGGCGUUGGUGAGCGUGGCGGACACGAUGUUGGGGGUGACCAGCACGCCGGCCUUGGAGGGCACGUAGGCGGUGGUGCCGUCAGCCAGGGUCAGGGCCCUCUGGCCGGGCACGAUGUUCAGCACAUCGCCGCCCACAAACGAGGCCGCGGGGAUGGUCACCGCCAGCGUCACGCCGUCGGCGCCCAGGCUGCAGCUGCUCACGUUCUUGGCCACGCCGCCCGCACCCAGCAGCGCCAGCACCGCCUUGCAGUCGGCGCCAGUGGCCAGGGCGCUGGCGAAGGGCAGGCGCACAGUGAUGGCGGUGGCGGAGGUCAGGUUGGCGUUGGCGAACAGCGCGGGGUUCACCACCUGCGCCGCCAGCUUGGGCACGUAGCUGGGGCCGGUGGCCAGCGCCGAGGAGCGCAGCUCGG
Molecule: long non-coding RNA, 1223 nt
Filed under: Chlamydomonas reinhardtii
Lineage: Eukaryota; Viridiplantae; Chlorophyta; Chlorophyceae; Chlamydomonadales; Chlamydomonadaceae
Description: long non-coding RNA (CREI_LNC000746)
Source: RNAcentral